This 23-nucleotide non-coding RNA is filed under the name Arabidopsis thaliana (thale cress). Lineage: Eukaryota; Viridiplantae; Streptophyta; Magnoliopsida; Brassicales; Brassicaceae. The record is from RNAcentral.
ACAACUGAAUUACUAGGAUGUGA